This is a non-coding RNA of Peromyscus maniculatus bairdii (prairie deer mouse), 1425 nucleotides long. The record is from RefSeq and is a predicted model, not a curated record. NCBI's taxonomy places the organism in Eukaryota, Metazoa, Chordata, Mammalia, Rodentia, Cricetidae.
UGAGGCGCCCCUCAGCCCUGUGCUCUAAGGGUGCCUGAGGAGAGAGAUGCUAAGGGAAGAGGAACUGGCGGCCAAAACUAACAAACAGGGCCCCUCAAGCGGAACAAUGGUCCAGAAAACUCAGCAAAAAGGAAAAUAAACUUCAUUGGCAGUUUGUUUUUUGACUGUUAAGGGCUUAGCUACAACUCUAUCAAGACUUUGAAGAAGGGUAAACAGAAGAGCCACACCUCUGAGAGAGAGAAGCACUACUUCCGCUCCCACCUCCACCGCCUGGGGCCGGAGUUCAGCCUGGGUGAGAAGAGCUAGCUCUCAGGCCAAAGGCCUGAUGCAUUCAAAGGGCUUAACCCAGCUGAGAAAUGUGUCACUGGGCCCAGACGACACUCAAGGAGACAGAUCCAAAAGGACCUUUCCAAGGAGUUUUGUCAACAAGUUUCCUGUCUUAAAGAGGGGAAUAUCCAGGAACUUGUAAACAUGGCUCCCGAGUGUAACGGACUGUGGCUCAGGCACAGGAUGGACAGCAUUUUCUUGACAACAUUCUACAUACUUAAUCAUAGGAACCCCGGAGAGGAUGUCACAGAAAGGCUCCGGGCAAACUAAACUGAGGAACCAAAGCUCCCUCAUCGUCACGUCAGUGCUGAUGCAAAUGUGGAAGUCCGUGAACAGCAAUAGUCAUUGACUGCAAGAUGAAGAAGGUUUCAGAGAAGGGUGGGGGAGGGGAGUGAAGGAAAGAAAAGCAAAGCAGAUUGAGAACACAGAAAUUCACCUCAGUGGGGUUCGAAUGCUCUCCUGGAACUGUGAGGAAGCACUUAAGCUCAUGCUGAUCCAAAUGUGGGCCUGAUUCUGUGCACUCCUUGAUGACACACAGAUUCAUUGGUGAUAUAAAACAUUUAUGAACUUCAAUUACCCAGUUCAACGUGAACACCCAAGAAUGACACAGAGUUCAAAUCGGAAUAGACUGUCUCCCAAAUUCUCCAUGUUAAAAAUGAGGACAGUGCAGCCCAGCAAAAGAAGAGAAGUCACCGCAGACAGGACAGGCUAGCCUGAGAGGAAGACAGUGAGAAAUCUUGGAAGGAGAAAUUGAGCAACUGUAGAGCCAUUCCCCAGGAACGGCCUGGAAGAGGACAACCUAGAGAUCCUCACUGUGUCUGCAAACAGGCUCGCUAUCUCCAGACUCUGUUCUGUGGAACCAUGUGGCUUUCAUGCCACAGCAUCAGGGUUCAGCAGUGGUGACUGAUAGACCAUACAACACUGGGAAGCAGCAGCAUCUCUCACAGUAGCAAAGCUGUGCACCAACUUUUGUUUUUAUUCUUUUAGUUUUGCAUUUUGUUUUGGGGCACUCACCAUGCAGUUCAGGCUGACUUCAAGGCUGUAAUCCUUCUGCCUCAACAUAUGAAAACUGAGAUUACAGGUGUGCAUCAUCGUGUC